RNAcentral lists this ribosomal RNA (182 nucleotides) under uncultured bacterium. RNAcentral describes it as "partial 16S ribosomal RNA". It matches the Rfam family "Bacterial small subunit ribosomal RNA", at positions 1319 to 1500 of the family's 1533-position model. The record is from RNAcentral.
CAUGAAGCUGGAAUUGCUAGUAAUCGCGGAUCAGCAAGCCGCGGUGAAUACGUUCCCGGGCCUUGUACACACCGCCCGUCACACCAUGAGAGUCGGGAACACCCGAAGUCCGUAGUCUAACCGCAAGGGGGGCGCGGCCGAAGGUGGGUCCGGUAAUUGGGGUGAAGUCGUAACAAGGUAUC